Molecule: non-coding RNA, 810 nt
Filed under: Macrotermes muelleri
Lineage: Eukaryota; Metazoa; Arthropoda; Insecta; Blattodea; Termitidae
Source: RNAcentral
UAUAAGUUUUAUUCUUGCUUUUGCGUUCAGUUUUUGCUUGUUCUAUAUGUGAGUUUUUGCGUGCGUUUGUCCUUGUUCUUUCUAGAUGGGGCCUUGGGUUAUGAUUGGUUCGUUUUCAUUAGUUGUUAUUGGUUGAUCAAGUAGUUUUUGUAUCUAGCAUUUCAUUCUAGUUUCGGUUAAAUUUUGUGCCAGCAGCCGCGGUUAUACUUUGGAGGCGUUUGAAUGUGUUUGGCUUGGUAGUUGUAUGGUUUAUAGUUGGUUCUCUUUUGGUUUGUUUGAUUGGGUGAAAUUUUUAUUUUCUUUGGGGAUUUAUUUGUUUUUUGGACACUAUUAAACUCUUAUUUUAGACUAGGAUUAGAUACCCUAUUAUUUUGAGUGUUAAUUUUGGUGCUUGAGUAGUAUUAGUUAUGUUCUUGAAACUUAAAGAAUUUGGCGGUAUCUUAUUCCAUUCAGAGGAAUCUGUCUCGUUAUCGAUAGUCCGCGUUGGACCUUACUUGGGUUUAUUAGUUUGUAUACCGCCGUUUAUUGAUUAUCUUUUUAGGGGUUUAAUUUUCUUGUUUCUUUAUUUUGAUUUAUUUCAGGUCAAGGUGCAGCUUUUUCUAAGUGUUAUGAUGGGUUACAUUGUUAUUUGUUUUUGGAUUAUGUAUUUCAAUAUGUGUAUGAAAUUGGAUUUGGUUGUAAUGUUUUGUAGAUUGUUUUCGUGAUAAUUGGUUCUGAGAUAUGCACACAUCGCCCGUCGCUCUCGUUUAUUUUUGUUAGUGAGAUAAGUCGUAACAAAGUGGCUGUACCGGAAGGUGUGGCUGGAAUGAU